RNAcentral lists this ribosomal RNA (423 nucleotides) under uncultured bacterium. RNAcentral's name for it is "bacterial SSU rRNA". It matches the Rfam family "Bacterial small subunit ribosomal RNA", at positions 207 to 622 of the family's 1533-position model. The record is from RNAcentral.
UAAGACCUGCGCUUUUGGAGCGGCCGAUGUCUGAUUAGCUUGUUGGUGAGGUAAAGGCUUACCAAGGCUUCGAUCAGUAGCUGGUCUGAGAGGACGGCCAGCCACACUGGGACUGAGACACGGCCCAGACUCCUACGGGAGGCAGCAGUGGGGAAUUUUGGACAAUGGGGGCAACCCUGAUCCAGCCAUGCCGCGUGAGUGAAGAAGGCCUUCGGGUUGUAAAGCUCUUUCAGCCGGAACGAAACGGUUACGGUUAAUACCCGUGACUACUGACGGUACCGGAAGAAGAAGCACCGGCUAACUACGUGCCAGCAGCCGCGGUAAUACGUAGGGUGCAAGCGUUAAUCGGAAUUACUGGGCGUAAAGCGUGCGCAGGUGGUUUUGUAAGUCAGAUGUGAAAUCCCCGGGCUUAACCUGGGAACU